This 204-nucleotide long non-coding RNA is filed under the name Elaeis guineensis (African oil palm). RNAcentral's name for it is "long non-coding RNA (EGUI_LNC027697)". The record is from RNAcentral. Lineage: Eukaryota; Viridiplantae; Streptophyta; Magnoliopsida; Arecales; Arecaceae.
UGCCAUCUCAUGGAUAGUAUGCUAACAAUUACACAUAGCUCCAUGAACACACAGAAGAACACCUAGAGAAUCAACAAUUGGAUGGCAAUAAUAGCAAAUACAUGUGAUUCUCAUGUGUUUUGCAAGCAUAGAGAAACCUAAUCCUUAUAAAUUUCUUGAAACCAGAAUGUAAACUGUCAUCCAUAAAUAAAAAAAUCCUACCUC